GAUGAACGCUGGCGGCGUGCCUAAUACAUGCAAGUCGAGCGAACGGACGAGAAGCUUGCUUCUCUGAUGUUAGCGGCGGACGGGUGAGUAACACGUGGAUAACCUACCUAUAAGACUGGGAUAACUUCGGGAAACCGGAGCUAAUACCGGAUAAUAUUUUGAACCGCAUGGUUCAAAAGUAAAAGACGGUCUUGCUGUCACUUAUAGAUGGAUCCGCGCUGCAUUAGCUAGUUGGUAAGGUAACGGCUUACCAAGGCAACGAUGCAUAGCCGACCUGAGAGGGUGAUCGGCCACACUGGAACUGAGACACGGUCCAGACUCCUACGGGAGGCAGCAGUAGGGAAUCUUCCGCAAUGGGCGAAAGCCUGACGGAGCAACGCCGCGUGAGUGAUGAAGGUCUUCGGAUCGUAAAACUCUGUUAUUAGGGAAGAAUAUAUGUGUAAGUAACUGUGCACAUCUUGACGGUACCUAAUCAGAAAGCCACGGCUAACUACGUGCCAGCAGCCGCGGUAAUACGUAGGUGGCAAGCGUUAUCCGGAAUUAUUGGGCGUAAAGCGCGCGUAGGCGGUUUUUUAGUCUGAUGUGAAAGCCCACGGCUCAACCGUGGAAGGUCAUUGGAAACUGGAAAACUUGAGUGCAGAAGAGGAAAGUGGAAUUCCAUGUGUAGCGGUGAAAUGCGCAGAGAUAUGGAGGAACACCAGUGGCGAAGGCGACUUUCUGGUCUGUAACUGACGCUGAUGUGCGAAAGCGUGGGGAUCAAACAGGAUUAGAUACCCUGGUAGUCCACGCCGUAAACGAUGAGUGCUAAGUGUUAGGGGGUUUCCGCCCCUUAGUGCUGCAGCUAACGCAUUAAGCACUCCGCCUGGGGAGUACGACCGCAAGGUUGAAACUCAAAGGAAUUGACGGGGACCCGCACAAGCGGUGGAGCAUGUGGUUUAAUUCGAAGCAACGCGAAGAACCUUACCAAAUCUUGACAUCCUUUGACAACUCUAGAGAUAGAGCCUUCCCCUUCGGGGGACAAAGUGACAGGUGGUGCAUGGUUGUCGUCAGCUCGUGUCGUGAGAUGUUGGGUUAAGUCCCGCAACGAGCGCAACCCUUAAGCUUAGUUGCCAUCAUUAAGUUGGGCACUCUAAGUUGACUGCCGGUGACAAACCGGAGGAAGGUGGGGAUGACGUCAAAUCAUCAUGCCCCUUAUGAUUUGGGCUACACACGUGCUACAAUGGACAAUACAAAGGGCAGCGAAACCGCGAGGUCAAGCAAAUCCCAUAAAGUUGUUCUCAGUUCGGAUUGUAGUCUGCAACUCGACUACAUGAAGCUGGAAUCGCUAGUAAUCGUAGAUCAGCAUGCUACGGUGAAUACGUUCCCGGGUCU
Molecule: ribosomal RNA, 1371 nt
Filed under: uncultured bacterium
Lineage: Bacteria
Description: bacterial SSU rRNA
Rfam family: Bacterial small subunit ribosomal RNA
Source: RNAcentral